This is a non-coding RNA of Danio rerio (zebrafish), 71 nucleotides long. NCBI's taxonomy places the organism in Eukaryota, Metazoa, Chordata, Actinopteri, Cypriniformes, Danionidae. The record is from Rfam.
GCUUUGGUGGUUCAGUGGUAGAAUUCUCGCCUCCCACGCAGGAGACCCGGAUUUGAUUACCGGCCAAUGGA